ACUUCUCAGCUUUCUCUGCGUUUCAGUUAGAAUAUUUUAUUUUCUUACCAGCCAAACACCAAGCACCGAAAAAAAGAAGACAGAAAAUUUUGUUAUAAGGCGCCAACGGUGUUUCGAAUUUUCGAUCUCUGGGUUGAUUUUUCAACACCCUUUUGACUCCUGAAGUGAUUGAAAACUUGAUUAAGGUUCCAAUAUAAACAACUUAGUUUGUUUUUCUCCUUCUCAUUGCCUUCCGCCGCUUUCGUGAGCCAUGGUGACAUUGGCAGAAGCACAAUAGAGGAUGUGAAAUAAAAGGCAGGGAAGAAGUUUGAGAAUUAUGUAAAAUAAGCAAUUUCACUCCAAUCGAGCAAGAUGAGCCAACAGAGUCAAGGGACAGGUUCUCCAGUAGAGCCUGAUGGACCUAGGCAUACACAAGAGGGGGGGUGAAUUGUGUCCCCAAAUUCCAAGUUAGGAAUCCCCUUUAAAAAUUCAAUCAAAUUAAUCUCAAUUUAACAAAUAGCACACAAUUUGGACUAUAAUAAUUAUCCUAAUCAAGAUUCAAUCCAAUGCACAAUGUGAUGCAAUAUUUUGAAUGAUUGAAUAUCAAAUAAUCAAGAAUUCCAAAAACCAGAUUUUUUUUUUUUUAUUUUUUUUUUUUAAAUAACACCUUGCGCACAGAUUUUGCAACACAGAUUUCACUUAUCAAACGAUGUCGAAAUGCAACGAAAUUUUAUGUGAAAUAUCACAACACCUUGAUAAAUACUAUAU
This is a long non-coding RNA of Tripterygium wilfordii, 747 nucleotides long. RefSeq lists it as uncharacterized. NCBI's taxonomy places the organism in Eukaryota, Viridiplantae, Streptophyta, Magnoliopsida, Celastrales, Celastraceae. The transcript has 3 exons. The record is from RefSeq and is a predicted model, not a curated record.